AAAGUCGUAACAAGGUUUCCGUAGGUGAACCUGCGGAAGGAUCAUUACAGAGUUCAUGCCCUUACGGGUAGAUCUCCCACCCUUGAAUACAUUACCUUUGUUGCUUUGGCGGGCCGCUUCGUCCACCAGCUUUAGCUAGUGAGUGCCCGCCAAAGGACCUAAAACUCUGAAUUAUAGUGUCGUCUGAGUACUAUAUAAUAGUUAAAACUUUCAACAACGGAUCUCUUGGUUCUG
Molecule: unclassified non-coding RNA, 234 nt
Filed under: Ascomycota sp.
Lineage: Eukaryota; Fungi; Ascomycota
Description: partial contains small subunit ribosomal RNA, internal transcribed spacer 1, and 5.8S ribosomal RNA
Rfam family: Eukaryotic small subunit ribosomal RNA (bases 1-47)
Source: RNAcentral